This 468-nucleotide ribosomal RNA is filed under the name uncultured bacterium. RNAcentral's name for it is "partial 16S ribosomal RNA". It matches the Rfam family "Bacterial small subunit ribosomal RNA", at positions 28 to 493 of the family's 1533-position model. The record is from RNAcentral.
GACGAACGCUGGCGGCGUGCUUAACACAUGCAAGUCGAACGGAAAGGCCCUGCUUUUGUGGGGUGCUCGAGUGGCGAACGGGUGAGUAACACGUGAGUAACCUGCCCUUGACUUUGGGAUAACUUCAGGAAACUGGGGCUAAUACCGGAUAGGAGCUCCUGCUGCAUGGUGGGGGUUGGAAAGUUUCGGCGGUUGGGGAUGGACUCGCGGCUUAUCAGCUUGUUGGUGGGGUAGUGGCUUACCAAGGCUUUGACGGGUAGCCGGCCUGAGAGGGUGACCGGGCACAUUGGGGGAGUGGUACAGCCCAGACGCCUACGGGGGGGAGCAGUGGGGAAUAUUUUACAAAGGGGGGAGGACUGAUGCAGCAACGCCGCGUGCGGGAGGGAGGCGCUCGGGUUGUAAAACGCGUUUGCCCGUGAGGAAGAGUGAGGGAGGGUGAUAGGGAAAAAAAAACAGGGGAAAAACGCG